This 410-nucleotide long non-coding RNA is filed under the name Ananas comosus (pineapple). RNAcentral describes it as "long non-coding RNA (ACOM_LNC042923)". Lineage: Eukaryota; Viridiplantae; Streptophyta; Magnoliopsida; Poales; Bromeliaceae. The record is from RNAcentral.
UAAAAGAAGUUUGAUGAAGUCAUGUGUGGAAAGAAAUUUAAGGCAUGUUCGGUUCAUGAUUGGAAUAAUAAUGAAUAUAAAAAUGAAUUAUUUUGGAAUAAAAAAUAGAAUGAUGAUAAAUUAUCCAAAAAUAUUUGGUUCAUUAUUGGAAUGAAAAUCGAGAUGAAAAUUUAGAAUCUUGAGAUAGAAUUUUGAUUAAGAGAGAGAAAAAUGAUAAAGGGAGAGGAGGGGGAGGUGUUUGUAAAAGAGGAUUUUAAGUAGUAUAUUUUAAAAUGAGCCAAUUCAGAAUUCAAAACUGAAUAAAUAAAUUUGAUCAUUUCCAUUCUAGAGUAAGAAUCAAAAUUUGAUUCUUGUAAAAUAAAUAAUAAUAGCUAUCGAAAUUAAUAAAUCUCAUUUUGAUUCUACAGUAU